UACAGAGGGUGCAAGCGUUGUUCGGAAUUAUUGGGCGUAAAGCGUGCGCAGGCGGUUCGCUGUGUCCGAUGUGAAAGCCCCGGGCUUAACCUGGGAAUGGCAUUGGAAACUGGCGGGCUUGAGUGUGGCAGAGGGGGGUGGAAUUCCGCGUGUAGCAGUGAAAUGCGUAGAGAUGCGGAGGAACACCGAUGGCGAAGGCAGCCCCCCUGGGCUAACACUGACGCUCAGGCACGAAAGCGUGGGGAGCAAACAGG
RNAcentral lists this ribosomal RNA (254 nucleotides) under uncultured bacterium. Its description in RNAcentral is "partial 16S ribosomal RNA". It matches the Rfam family "Bacterial small subunit ribosomal RNA", at positions 524 to 776 of the family's 1533-position model. The record is from RNAcentral.